This is a long non-coding RNA of Hibiscus syriacus, 407 nucleotides long. RefSeq lists it as uncharacterized. Lineage: Eukaryota; Viridiplantae; Streptophyta; Magnoliopsida; Malvales; Malvaceae. The record is from RefSeq and is a predicted model, not a curated record. The transcript has 3 exons.
GCAGGGUCAAGUAGGAGGAGUUUCCAGCUCUUUGAUCGUAUCCCAAGCAUGCCAAAAUCAGGGGAUAAGUGUCCAGUGGGGUUAGUCAAAGAUUUCAUUGAACUUAAACUCCAUUAUAACAUAUAUUGCAUUUAAAUAAUGAUGUUAAUUCCCUCUGAAUGUCAGGAAUCCAGAUGGAGAUGUAGAAUUGGAUGAUGUCUGGUUUGCUUAUCCUUCUCGGCCAAGUCAUAUGGUACUCGAGGGAAUUACACUUAAACUGAAGGGUGGCUCAAAAUUAGCCCUUGUAGGACCAAGUGGUGGUGGAAAGGUAAAUGUCGCCACCCCUUUUCCCUUCCAUUUUCCCAUGUUAGAGUUAUUUCCCAGACAGUUGAUGCAUUUCUCUUCACCAUGGACUAACAAAUUAAUAA